Molecule: ribosomal RNA, 253 nt
Filed under: uncultured bacterium
Lineage: Bacteria
Description: partial 16S ribosomal RNA
Rfam family: Bacterial small subunit ribosomal RNA
Source: RNAcentral
UACAGAGGGGGCAAGCGUUGUUCGGAAUUACUGGGCGUAAAGGGCGCGUAGGCGGCCCGCUAAGUCGAACGUGAAAUCCCCAGGCUCAACCUGGGAACUGCGUCCGAUACUGGCAGGCUUGAAUCCGGGAGAGGGAUGUGGAAUUCCAGGUGUAGCGGUGAAAUGCGUAGAUAUCUGGAGGAACACCGGUGGCGAAGGCGGCAUCCUGGACCAUAACUGACACUGAGAGACGAAAGCCAGGGGAGCAAACGGG